Molecule: long non-coding RNA, 1609 nt
Filed under: Phasianus colchicus (ring-necked pheasant)
Lineage: Eukaryota; Metazoa; Chordata; Aves; Galliformes; Phasianidae
Description: lncRNA (ENSPCLG00000017302.1)
Source: RNAcentral
CCCACAUUUGGGGUCCUAUCCAUCCCAUUUGGGGUCCCAUCAGUCCCACAUUUGGGGUCCCAUCGGUCCCAUUUGGGGUCUAUCCCGCCCCAUCCCACAGUGACCCCAAUGCUCCACUUAUGGGGUCCCACCCAUCCCACGUUUGUGGUCCAUCCUGUCCCAUCCCAUAGUGACCCAAUGCCCCACUUAUGGGGUCCCACCCAUCCCACAUUUGGGGUCCCAUCAGUCCCACCUUUGGGGACCCCAAAUGUCCCAUCCCAUAGUGACACACUGUCCCACUUUGGGCUCCCAUCCAUCCCACAUCUGGGCUCCCAUCCAUCCCACUUUUGGGGUCCCAUCAGUCCCACUUUUGGGGUCCAUCCCGUCCCACCCCAUAGUGACCCAAUGCCCCACAUUUGGGGUCCCCCCCAUCCCACAUUUGGGGCCCCAAAUGUCCCAUCCCAUAGUGACCCCAAUGCCCCACAUUUGGGGUCCCAUCGGUCCCAUUUGGGAUCCUACUUUUGGGGACCCCAAAUAUCCCAUCCCAUAGUGACCAAAUUUCCCACUUUUGGGCUCCCAUCCAUCCCACUUUUGGGGUCCGUCCUGUCCCAUCCCACAGUGACCCCAAUGCCCCACAUUUGGGGUCCUAUCCAUCCCACAUUUGGGGUCCCAUCGAUCCCACAUUUGGGGUCCAUCCUGCCCCAUCCCAUAAUGACCCCAAUGUCCCACUUUUGGGGUCCCAUCCAUCCCACUUUUGGGGUCCCAUCCAUCCCACAUUUGGGGUCCCAUCAGUCCCACUUUUGGGGUCCAUCCUGUCCCAUCCCAUAGUGACCCAAUGCCCCACAUUUGGGGUCCCCCCCAUCCCACAUUUGGGGUCCCAUCGGUCCCAUUUGGGAUCCUACUUUUGGGGACCCCAAAUAUCCCAUCCCACAGUGACCCCAAUGUCCCACUUUUGGGGUCCUAUCCAUCCCACAUUUGGGGUCCCAUCCAUCCCACAUUUGGGGUCCAUCCUGCCCCAUCCCAUAGUGACCCCAAUGCCCCACAUUUGGGCUCCCAUCCAUCCCAUAUCGGAUCCCAUCCAUCCCAUUUGGGGUCCCACCCGUCCCACAUUUGGGGUCCCACCCAUCCCACUUUUGGGGAUCCCAAAUAUCCCAUCCUAUAGUGACCCCAAUGCCCCACUUUUGGGGUCCCACCCAUCCCACAUCUGGGCUCCCACCCAUCCCACGUUUGGGGUCCAUCCCGCCCCAUCCCAUAAUGACCCCAAUACCCCAUUUACGGGGUCCCAUCCAUCCCACAUUUGGGGUCCCAUCGGUCCCAUUUGGGGUCUAUCCCGCCCCACCCCAUAGUGACCCCAAUGCCCCACAUUUGGGCUCCCAUCCAUCCCAUAUCGGAUCCCAUCGGUCCCAUUUGGGGUCCCAUCCAUCCCACAUUUGGGGUCCUUCCUGUCCCAUCCUAUAGUGACCUCAUUGUCCCACUUUUGGGCUCCCACCCAUCCCACGUUUGGGGUCCCAUCGAUCCCACAUUUGGGGUCCCACCCAUCCCACUUUUGGGGUCCCACCCAUCCCACAUCUGGGCUCCCACCCAUCCCACGUUUGGGUUCCAUCCCGCCCCACCCCACAAUGACCCCAAU